This 253-nucleotide ribosomal RNA is filed under the name uncultured bacterium. RNAcentral describes it as "partial 16S ribosomal RNA". It matches the Rfam family "Bacterial small subunit ribosomal RNA", at positions 524 to 776 of the family's 1533-position model. The record is from RNAcentral.
UACGAAGGGGGCUAGCGUUGCUCGGAAUCACUGGGCGUAAAGCGCACGUAGGCGGCUUUCUAAGUCAGGGGUGAAAUCCUGGAGCUCAACUCCAGAACUGCCUUUGAUACUGGAGAGCUUGAGUCCGGAAGAGGUGAGUGGAACUCCGAGUGUAGAGGUGAAAUUCGUAGAUAUCUGGAGGAACACCAGUGGCGAAGGCGGCAUUCUGGACCGGCAUUGACGCUGAGGCGCGAAAGCUAGGGGAGCAAACGGG